GGGGGGCGGCGGCCCCGCCCCGGCGGGCGGGGGAGCAGGUGGCGGGACGGUGCGCGGACUGGGGGAGGGGCCGGAAGGGGCCCGCGGGAGCCGGGGCCGCUGGGCGCGCCCCCAGCGCAUGUCCUCCUCCUCCUGGCCUCCCAGCUCCUGCUGCUCCUUUGGCGACUCGGGCUCUACGAAUAUCUUAGAAGAACACCGUUUGACCAGAGGACCAGGCUCCCUUUCUGGCUUCGGCUCUCAGUCCCUCUGUAUCUCGCUCAAGCAAAUCAAUUACGUUCAUCCUCCAUCUCCCAGCCUCAGUUUCCUCGCCUGUGACACGGCAGAGAUGGACCAGGAAGACCUUCCUGGACACAUCAGCGCACACUACAUUUUUUGUGACUCUGGGGAUAGGGCCGGGAGGAUUCAGGGCUGGGCUCCAGCUGCUAAGACGGCAGCGGGAAGACAGCCUGACCCGAGAGCCAGCCUUCUUAUCUGCGCCAGAGACCUCACGGUGUCCUGCCACGACCCGUACCCCCAUGGCCUCCAUCCGGGACUGCUGCACAGCUCUGUUCUGAGUCCCCGCCCUGCGAAGGAGGCAACUUUCCCUUCAGGAGACUCAACAGAGGAAAAGUGAUCUCAUAAAAAGUCCCAGAGAGACUGGAACUAAUGUCAGCAUCAUGCACACUGAAAUGUACCCUCUUCAAUUCAACAAAGGUUUAUUGAGCAUCUGUCUGUACAGACCUUGUGCUGGGUGCUAGGCUGUUGUUGUUCAGUCGCUAAGUCAUGUCCGACUCUUUGUUACCCGAGCACACCAGGCUUCCCUGUCCUUCACUGUCUCCCAGAGUUUGCUCAAAUUCAUGUCCAUUGAGUCAGUGAUGCCAUCCAACCAUCGCAUCCUCUGUCAUCCCCUUCUCCUCCUGCCCUCAGUCUUUCCAAACAUCAGGGUCUUUUUCAGUGAGUUAGCUCUUUGCAUCAGGUGGCCAAAGUAUUGGAGUUUCAGCUCCAGCAUCAGUCCGUCCAAUUAAUAUUCAGGGUUGAUUUCCUUAAGAAUUGACUGGUUUAAUCUCCUUGCUGUCCAAGGGACUCUCAAGAGCCUUCUCCAGCACCACAGUUUGAAAGCAUCAGUUCUUCAGUGCUCAGCCUUCAUGGUCCAACUCUCACAUCCAUACAUGACUACUGGAAAAGCCAUAGCCUGGACUAGAUGGAGAUAACAGAG
This is a long non-coding RNA of Bos indicus x Bos taurus (hybrid cattle), 1195 nucleotides long. Lineage: Eukaryota; Metazoa; Chordata; Mammalia; Artiodactyla; Bovidae. The record is from Ensembl.